UGGAAGUUAAAAAAGUCGUAACAAGGUUUCCGUAGGUGAACCUGCGGAAGGAUCAUUACCGAGUGAGGGCCCUCUGGGUCCAACCUCCCACCCGUGUCUAUCGUACCUUGUUGCUUCGGCGGGCCCGCCGUUUCGACGGCCGCCGGGGAGGCCUUGCGCCCCCGGGCCCGCGCCCGCCGAAGACCCCAACAUGAACGCUGUUCUGAAAGUAUGCAGUCUGAGUUGAUUAUCGUAAUCAGUUAAAACUUUCAACAACGGAUCUCUUGGUUCCGGCAUCGAUGAAGAACGCAGCGAAAUGCGAUAAGUAAUGUGAAUUGCAGAAUUCAGUGAAUCAUCGAGUCUUUGAACGCACAUUGCGCCCCCUGGUAUUCCGGGGGGCAUGCCUGUCCGAGCGUCAUUGCUGCCCUCAAGCACGGCUUGUGUGUUGGGCCCCCGUCCCCCUCUCCCGGGGGACGGGCCCGAAAGGCAGCGGCGGCACCGCGUCCGGUCCUCGAGCGUAUGGGGCUUUGUCACCUGCUCUGUAGGCCCGGCCGGCGCCAGCCGACACCCAACUUUAUUUUUCUAAGGUUGACCUCGGAUCAGGUAGGGAUACCCGCUGAACUUAAGCAUAUCAAUA
This 616-nucleotide ribosomal RNA is filed under the name Aspergillus fumigatus. Its description in RNAcentral is "eukaryotic LSU rRNA". The stretch from base 244 to 397 matches the Rfam family "5.8S ribosomal RNA". The record is from RNAcentral. Lineage: Eukaryota; Fungi; Ascomycota; Eurotiomycetes; Eurotiales; Aspergillaceae.